AUACAGAGGGUGCAAGCGUUAAUCGGAUUUACUGGGCGUAAAGCGCGCGUAGGUGGCUAAUUAAGUCAAAUGUGAAAUCCCCGAGCUUAACUUGGGAAUUGCAUUCGAUACUGGUUAGCUAGAGUAUGGGAGAGGAUGGUAGAAUUCCAGGUGUAGCGGUGAAAUGCGUAGAGAUCUGGAGGAAUACCGAUGGCGAAGGCAGCCAUCUGGCCUAAUACUGACACUGAGGUGCGAAAGCAUGGGGAGCAAACAGGAUUAGAUACCCUGGUAGUCCAUGCCGUAAACGAUGUCUACUAGCCGUUGGGGCCCUUGAGGCUUCAGUGGCGCAGCUAACGCGAUAAGUAGACCGCCUGGGGAGUACGGUCGCAAGACUAAAACUCAAAUGAAUUGACGGGG
This 396-nucleotide ribosomal RNA is filed under the name uncultured bacterium. Its description in RNAcentral is "partial 16S ribosomal RNA". It matches the Rfam family "Bacterial small subunit ribosomal RNA", at positions 523 to 918 of the family's 1533-position model. The record is from RNAcentral.